This 416-nucleotide ribosomal RNA is filed under the name Burkholderia vietnamiensis. RNAcentral describes it as "bacterial SSU rRNA". It matches the Rfam family "Bacterial small subunit ribosomal RNA", at positions 380 to 787 of the family's 1533-position model. The record is from RNAcentral. Lineage: Bacteria; Pseudomonadati; Pseudomonadota; Betaproteobacteria; Burkholderiales; Burkholderiaceae.
AGCCUGAUCCAGCAAUGCCGCGUGUGUGAAGAAGGCCUUCGGGUUGUAAAGCACUUUUGUCCGGAAAGAAAUCCUUGGCUCUAAUACAGUCGGGGGAUGACGGUACCGGAAGAAUAAGCACCGGCUAACUACGUGCCAGCAGCCGCGGUAAUACGUAGGGUGCAAGCGUUAAUCGGAAUUACUGGGCGUAAAGCGUGCGCAGGCGGUUUGCUAAGACCGAUGUGAAAUCCCCGGGCUCAACCUGGGAACUGCAUUGGUGACUGGCAGGCUAGAGUAUGGCAGAGGGGGGUAGAAUUCCACGUGUAGCAGUGAAAUGCGUAGAGAUGUGGAGGAAUACCGAUGGCGAAGGCAGCCCCCUGGGCCAAUACUGACGCUCAUGCACGAAAGCGUGGGGAGCAAACAGGAUUAGAUACCGC